RNAcentral lists this ribosomal RNA (253 nucleotides) under uncultured bacterium. RNAcentral describes it as "partial 16S ribosomal RNA". It matches the Rfam family "Bacterial small subunit ribosomal RNA", at positions 524 to 776 of the family's 1533-position model. The record is from RNAcentral.
UACGUAGGGGGCAAGCGUUAUCCGGAUUUACUGGGUGUAAAGGGAGCGUAGACGGUUAUGCAAGUCUGAAGUGAAAGCCCAAGGCUCAACCAUGGGACUGCUUUGGAAACUGUAAAACUGGAGUGCAGGAGAGGUAAGCGGAAUUCCUAGUGUAGCGGUGAAAUGCGUAGAUAUUAGGAGGAACACCAGUGGCGAAGGCGGCUUACUGGACUGUAACUGACGUUGAGGCUCGAAGGCGUGGGGAUCAAACAGG